This is a non-coding RNA of Pelobates cultripes (western spadefoot toad), 216 nucleotides long. The record is from the annotation of a GenBank genome assembly. NCBI's taxonomy places the organism in Eukaryota, Metazoa, Chordata, Amphibia, Anura, Pelobatidae.
AGACAACUAACUGCUAUUCAAUCUAUAACAGUGAAAAAAGUUUUUUGUUUUUAAAUGCAAGCUAUUGUGACACCUGUGAGUGAGUGGUGGCACUGGGCACAGAAUCCACUGUGAGCCUGACACACCCGCUUUAAGGACACUGACUGCUAUUCAAUCUAUAACAGUGAAAAACAUUUUUUGUUUUUAAAUGCAAGCUAUUGUGACACCAGAUAUGAG